Long non-coding RNA from Ornithodoros turicata, 696 nucleotides. RefSeq lists it as uncharacterized. NCBI's taxonomy places the organism in Eukaryota, Metazoa, Arthropoda, Arachnida, Ixodida, Argasidae. The transcript has 3 exons. The record is from RefSeq and is a predicted model, not a curated record.
AUUCCACGUUUGAUGCGCUCUGACGCAGACAUCUUGGAGCAAGCGAUCAAGUCUGCUUUCAACAGCACCUCUGGCUUUUCGGUAUCCCCUUGAAGAUCAGCGCUGCCUCCGUGGCUGCAGGAGCUCCAGCGGCGUGACAUCUCUCCAUAAGCGAAGGAGUGAGAGGGCGGUGCGCAGAGGAGGAAAGGCGCCGUCCAGUCGCCUCGUAACUCCAUGGGAAACCCAGAGGGAAUUUCGGCAUACCAUGGAGAAAGGAAACACAGGAGUGGACCGUUUUCAAUCGGGACGAGCGUAGCCGCCUUCGUGUUGCAUUCUGGGAUGCUCCUAUCUACCUCGUGACCGCUCACGUGACCCCCCCCCCCCCCCCCCCGAUAGCACGGCGCCUACCAAAGCAGACGACGCGAGCUGUAGCUAUAGCUGCCUGAUACUUCAGAUUUCAACAUUAUGUUGAACACGUGCGUGCACUUUUAUUUCUGUGUCUUCGGAGGUUUACUCUUCCAUUACAAGACCAGUGGGGACAUGGCUUCAAUAUGGGACCCGUUUUGCCAGGGUUUUCCUAAAACUAAAGCGCAUGCCCGACACUCGGAUCGAUCGUUUCAUUGGAGCGAUAAUGCCGCUGGUUUCUCUAAUGACAACAGAAGCGACAGGUCAAGUAAAAAACACAGUGUUUGAUAGAAACGGACGUCUGUUCUUUAA